UACGUAGGGGGCAAGCGUUGUCCGGAAUCAUUGGGCGUAAAGCGCGUGUAGGCGGUCCGGUAAGUCCGCUGUGAAAGUCGGGGGCUCAACCCUCGGAUGCCGGUGGAUACUGUCGGGCUUGAGUACGGAAGAGGCGAGUGGAAUUCCUGGUGUAGCGGUGAAAUGCGUAGAUAUUGGGAGGAACACCAGUGGCGAAGGCGGCUACCUGGACCGGUUCUGACGCUGAGGCGCGAAAGCGUGGGUAGCAAACAGG
This 253-nucleotide ribosomal RNA is filed under the name uncultured bacterium. RNAcentral describes it as "partial 16S ribosomal RNA". It matches the Rfam family "Bacterial small subunit ribosomal RNA", at positions 524 to 776 of the family's 1533-position model. The record is from RNAcentral.